CGCCGACUACGCUCGUAGAAGCUCAUCGUCGAAUUCUUCGGACGCGGGUUCGAUUCCCGCCAUCUCCACAC
RNAcentral lists this transfer-messenger RNA (71 nucleotides) under Anaerolineae bacterium. RNAcentral describes it as "partial transfer-messenger RNA". It matches the Rfam family "transfer-messenger RNA", at positions 302 to 374 of the family's 374-position model. From Rfam's summary of the family: Bacterial tmRNA, also known as 10Sa RNA or SsrA, is named for its dual tRNA and mRNA-like properties. Its role is to liberate the mRNA from a stalled ribosome. Lineage: Bacteria; Bacillati; Chloroflexota; Anaerolineae. The record is from RNAcentral.